Molecule: unclassified non-coding RNA, 363 nt
Filed under: uncultured Actinomycetes bacterium
Lineage: Bacteria; Bacillati; Actinomycetota; Actinomycetes
Description: uncultured actinobacterium contains 16S-23S intergenic spacer region
Source: RNAcentral
UCCGGUUUCGCGCAGCGGUCUCGCUAGAGAGAUUCAACUAGCGACGAGGGUUGCGCUCGUUGCGGGACUUAACCCAACACCUCACGACACGAGCUGACGACAGCCAUGCACCACCUGUGAUGGUGUCCCGAAGGAAGGAUGUGUUUCCACACCUGUCACCAACAUGUCAAACCCAGGUAAGGUUCUUCGCGUUGCGUCGAAUUAAGCCACAUGCUCCGCCGCUUGUGCGGGCCCCCGUCAAUUCCUUUGAGUUUUAGCCUUGCGGCCGUACUCCCCAGGCGGGGUGCUUAAUGCGUUAGCUUCGGCACGGACGGGGUCGAUAUCCGCCCACACCUAGCACCCAACGUUUACGGCUAGGACUAC